AGCACAUGCAGGUAUUUUUGCGGAGGGUCACAACAUGAUUGUUGGGAAAAUGGGAUGGUUGCCAGAACAUCAGUCUGUGAUGGAUGCCAUAUUGCAUUACUCUUCAAAUGGUGGAAUACAGUUUGGGAUUCCUCAGACCUGCUUAACAUGGUUCAAGCUGGAACUUACAGCUGCUUAACGUUUUAGCUGUCUGGAUCCAUGGUUAUGGUUAAUGGUUUCCUGGGUGAAGAGUCCCAUACUGAAACUUGUGGAUAUUGUGGAACAUGCUGCUGAGACCCAUUUGGAUUAUACUGCCAUCUGACACCAAGGUUCUGCAGCUGAUGAAAGGAGCUUACCAGAUCUUUUUUAUGUGGUUGCUGAAGCAUUGCCCUGGGACAGCAGUAAUGAUGGAUGGAGGAACAGAACACAUUUCAGCUGUCAGCAGAUUUCAAGGUAUGUGUCUCUGUGUUUGAA
This 453-nucleotide long non-coding RNA is filed under the name Cyanistes caeruleus (blue tit). RNAcentral describes it as "lncRNA (ENSCCEG00000000851.1)". The record is from RNAcentral. Lineage: Eukaryota; Metazoa; Chordata; Aves; Passeriformes; Paridae.